CAGCCGCCGCGGUAAUACCGGCGGCCCGAGUGGCGGCCACUAUUAUUGGGCCUAAAGCGUCCGUAGCCGGGUUGGGAAGUCCUCCGGGAAAUCUGGCCGCUUAACGGUCAGAAUGCCGGAGGAUACUCCCAGCCUAGGGAGCGGGAGAGGCCGAGGGUAUUCCCGGAGUAGGGGUGAAAUCCUAUAAUCCCGGGAGGACCACCUGUGGCGAAGGCGCUCGGCUGGAACGCGUCCGACGGUGAGGGACGAAGGCCAGGGGAGCAAACCGGAUUAGAUACCCGGGUAGUCCUGGCGGUAAACGAUGCGGACUUUGUGUCGGACAAGCUAUGAGCUUGUCCGGUGCCGGAGGGAAACCGUUAAGUCCGCCGCCUGGGGAGUACGGCCGCAAGGUUGAAACUUAAAGGAAUUGGCGGG
Molecule: ribosomal RNA, 414 nt
Filed under: uncultured microorganism
Description: bacterial SSU rRNA
Rfam family: Archaeal small subunit ribosomal RNA
Source: RNAcentral